CAUGGCUCAGAUUGAACGCAGGGGGCAGGCCUAACACAUGCAAGUCGAACGGUAGCACAGAGGAGCUUGCUCCUUGGGUGACGAGUGGCGGACGGGUGAGUAAUGUCUGGGAAACUGCCCGGUGGAGGGGGAUAACUACUGGAAACGGUAGCUAAUACCGCAUAACGUCGCAAGACCAAAGAGGGGGACCUUCGGGCCUCUUGCCAUCGGAUGUGCCCAGAUGGGAUUAGCUAGUAGGUGGGGUAACGGCUCACCUAGGCGACGAUCCCUAGCUGGUCUGAGAGGAUGACCAGCCACACUGGAACUGAGACACGGUCCAGACUCCUACGGGAGGCAGCAGUGGGGAAUAUUGCACAAUGGGCGCAAGCCUGAUGCAGCCAUGCCGCGUGUAUGAAGAAGGCCUUCGGGUUGUAAAGUACUUUCAGCGAGGAGGAAGGCGUUGAGGUUAAUAAC
This 453-nucleotide ribosomal RNA is filed under the name uncultured bacterium. RNAcentral's name for it is "bacterial SSU rRNA". It matches the Rfam family "Bacterial small subunit ribosomal RNA", at positions 18 to 467 of the family's 1533-position model. The record is from RNAcentral.